RNAcentral lists this ribosomal RNA (233 nucleotides) under uncultured bacterium. RNAcentral's name for it is "partial 16S ribosomal RNA". It matches the Rfam family "Bacterial small subunit ribosomal RNA", at positions 794 to 1034 of the family's 1533-position model. The record is from RNAcentral.
UCCACGCCGUAAACGAUGGUCACUCGUUGCUGGUGAUAUACAAUCAGUGACUGAGCGAAAGCAUUAAGUGACCCACCUGGGGAGUACGUUCGCAAGAAUGAAACUCAAAGGAAUUGACGGGGGCCCGCACAAGCGGAGGAACAUGUGGUUUAAUUCGAUGAUACGCGAGGAACCUUACCUGGGCUUAAAUGGGAGGCGUCUUCGGGCGUAGUUCUUCGAAAGAAGACUUAAAC